Molecule: ribosomal RNA, 513 nt
Filed under: uncultured microorganism
Description: bacterial SSU rRNA
Rfam family: Bacterial small subunit ribosomal RNA
Source: RNAcentral
GAGUUUGAUCUUGGCUCAGGAUGAACGCUGGCGGCGUGCUUAACACAUGCAAGUCGAACGAGGAAUUUUAAAUGAGACUUCGGUGGAUUUUAAAAUUCUUAGUGGCGGACGGGUGAGUAACGCGUGGGCAACCUGCCCUGUACAGGGGGGACAACAGCUGGAAACGGCUGCUAAUACCGCAUAAGACCACGGAGCCGCAUGGCUCAGUGGGAAAAACUCCGGUGGUACAGGAUGGGCCCGCGUUGGAUUAGGUAGUUGGUGAGGUAACGGCCCACCAAGCCGACGAUCCAUAGCCGACCUGAGAGGGUGACCGGCCACGUUGGGACUGAGACACGGCCCAAACUCCUACGGGAGGCAGCAGUGGGGAAUCUUCCGCAAUGGGCGAAAGCCUGACGGAGCAACGCCGCGUGAGUGAAGAAUUAUUUCGGUAUGUAAAGCUCUAUCAGCAGGGAAGAAAAUGACGGUAUCUGACUAAGAAGCCCCGGCUAACUACGUGCCAGCAGCCGCCGUAAG